GAUAUUUUUAGGAUCUUGCCAUAGGAAUAUAUCACCCCACAAAAGUUUAAGAUUUGUUAUCGUUUGUGAGGCAUUGCAUAACAUCUGCAUAAAAUAUACAAUAGGUUACGACCCUUAAAAUUGCGAUUCUUAACACACAAAAGAAAUGGACAUGGGAAGCGACCCGUCUCACCGCAAUCGAACAACGAUAAGAAACCAAAUAAAAUAUUCUUUAAUAAAUUUAAUUCAAAAAUGUAUGUAUAUGUCCGUUACCUUGUAAAUAAUUUUUUGGUAAUGUCAACUAAAAUACAAAAAUUUUGUUCAUAUAAAUAUUUUUUUUGUAAGGAGAUAUUCCAUUCAUUGGUUUCUUAUUUAUGUUCUUUAUUACUAAAAAUUAUAAAAAACAUAAAAUUUAAAAAAUAUUUGCUCACAUUUCCAUAAAUUUGUCUAUUACGAUUGGUAAUUUGCGUUCGAAUGACGAUUCAAACGAACGGAUACGUUUAUAUACUCGUUCACGUAUGUCAUCAUGCCAGAUUACGAUGGAAGCGUUACGAUCACGUAUGUCAUAAUACGAAAUACAGGCUCUUACGUGACGAGUGAUACGUUCACGGAUGUAACGAUUCGACCCCUGUAUGUAAAACCCUGUGCGAAAUAGCAUACUGAAGUUUGAGUGGGAAUUAAAACAAGUAUAAGUAAAAACUGAGAAAAGUAUAAAACAAACAAAAAACAUUACCACAUAAAAGAAAAAUUUUGUACACAAACCCUAAGGCAAACAAGUAUCGCGAAUUCGCAAAAAAAGAAAUGCUAUUACAAAAGUAACAUUGUUAUUUUAUGCAAAAGCAUAAAAAUCAAAUUCCAAAGAAAUAACUAUAAGUGUGUUAACAACCUGACAAAAACUGAAACAAAAAAGAGUGACUUAAAUCACAAAAAUAAAUAUAAUUUCAAAAAUAUUUAUAGCACAGAGUUCUUUAAAAACAACAAAAUAAACAGUGCCAAUGAAAACUCCGCACCAAAAGCAAUAAAGCAGCGACCAAACAUAAAAGAAAAAAGCAACUAGUUUUCAAAACAACAGCAGCAGCAAAGGCAACAAGAGCAACACCGUAGCAGCAAAAGCAAGAACUAACAGCAACAGUAGCAACAGCAACAGUAACAACAGCAGCAGUAGCAACAACAACAUAAAGUUAGUUGUAAGUAAAUCCUAUAUUUAUUAAUUAAAUGGGAAAUAAUCCCACUAAUAUUAAGUAUGAAAAAUUGUUUCACUGUGAGUAUUGCAAAACCAAUAAUCAUGACACUCACAAGCGCCCUUACUUAAGAAAAAAUAAAACAAAAUAAAUUCUUAUACAUCUAUUAAACAUAUAUAAAUAAAAAAGAAAUUUAACCAUAUUUUUGUGAGUAUUGCUAUAUAUGCUAUUUCAUGAAACUCACAAAUAUAUAAAAAAAAAAACAAAACCGAAAAAUAAGGAUUAUAGAAAAGAGGCGAUAGUUCAAUAUCAAGAAAUAAAAAAUUUUUAAAGCGAACAAAAUAAUUUUACGAUUUUCAAAAUGGCAGUAAAUAAUUUUACUGAAUUGAUUAUUAUAAUGGAAGUCUAUCAGAAAUUGACAUUACUAAUAAAUAACACUAUAAUGACGCACAGCACCAAUUCAGAUAUUACAAAACAAUUAAAUAUCAAGAUCGAGAAAUCGUGUUAAGAACUUUUAUAACAGGUUUUUAAAUUACCCCCAAAACCAAAUGCUAUUUACAUUAACACCUACCGAUUUGCCAAAUGCUCUUGAUAAAGCACAAGAACUUCUUUCAAAUCAAAUACGAUCACAAUUUGCUUUGCAAUUUGGUUCACGAAACCAUCCUCAAGUUAGCCGAAGAUAUCCGAUUUUUCGGAAUAACUUAAGGUACCCUCAAACGGAUAAUAAUUCCUACCAAAUGUGUUCCAAUCACCCAGAAUCAACUAAUAAAUAAACACAGCCCUGUGCAAAGAAACCAACCACAUGUUAGGAGUAAAAGGUAUAAUUAGCAGACCAAUUAUCAACCAACAAAUAUACCAAAAAGGUCAAUUGAAAGUGCACAAAUAAGCACACAACCUCAACCAAAAAUUGAAAGAAUCAAUAAUAUUGGUGAGAACCAUUUUUUAAGGGUAAACUCCGAUUUUCCGUAAGUUAUUAAAACCGAUACAAAAACUGGGCAAAACUUCAGAAUUUUUAAUUUGAUUGAAAUUAAUUUCCUAAAUAAAAUCGGAGAGACAAUUGAUAUUCCAAACAGAAAAUUGAUUUAUGGGGAUAAUAAAACGGAGAAAAUAAAUGUUCUCAACAAUUUAAAUAUAAAAACCCCUAAACCCCUUGGGACAAAAAAAUCCUGAGGCACCCGUCAAAGAUAAUGCACGGAAAAUAAUUGAAAAAUGUUUAUCAUGCAAAUAUAAAAUAAAAAAUGAUACUACGGAUAGAAAAAUAAAUGAAGCAAAUGCUCACAACAUUUUAAUAGUAAAUAAUUUCAAUUGUAUUCAGGCAAUAAUACAAGCUUCUCAUUUCACCCCUAAGAAAUAAUGUAUGAAAAAGUAAUAUGGGGAAGGAAAUAAAUUAAACCCCAAAUACCAAAAACAAGUAGUAUUAGAAGAUUUAGGAAAUACAGUUAAAAUACAAAACAGAAACAGAAUAAUUCAUAAAGAUAAUAUCAAAUCUUAAAUCUUUUACCUUUAAUAUACAAGAAAAAGAAAUUUUUGUCUAAAUGAUGUCACAUAUAAAAAGACUUCCAUCAAAGAAUAAUUAGAAGUCGAAGAUAAUAUAAAAUGCAUCGAAUAUAUAUUUAAGAGCCAAAUUUAAAUAAAUUGUUAAUAUAAAUUAAGAUUUCAAAAUGGUACUGUUCAAAAUGAUAAAUUAGUCUAUGGCCUCAGUAUAGUACAUAUAUUGUACAUAUCUCUUUGAAUCGGGACGCUUCAAUUUAGAGGCGGGGGAGUUAAGUCCACCAGUUCAUAUUACAUGAACAUAUCAUUCAUUUGUCAUAAAUAUGUAACAUGACACUUACGACCCAUAUGGUCCGUAUUGAAACAUUGUACUUUGCUAAUACGGUCCGCCUUAAGUGGUCCUAAGAUGUAAUUCAUUAAUUGUAAGAUGAACCUUUCCAUUUAUAACAUAUGGUCUAUCUUAAGUGGAUUGUAGAUAUACUUCUUAGAAUGUAAGAUUACUAUUUGUAUCUAGGCUUAAGGAAAAUAUUGUAUUUAAGAAGAAACGAAAUAAAGAAACCACGGAGUUGCCCAUGGGAGUUGCUCAUGGGCAGUUGCCCGUAGUUGCCCACCAGAA
Bactrocera neohumeralis is the source of this 3267-nucleotide long non-coding RNA. RefSeq lists it as uncharacterized. The transcript has 2 exons. The record is from RefSeq and is a predicted model, not a curated record. Lineage: Eukaryota; Metazoa; Arthropoda; Insecta; Diptera; Tephritidae.